RNAcentral lists this ribosomal RNA (253 nucleotides) under uncultured bacterium. Its description in RNAcentral is "partial 16S ribosomal RNA". It matches the Rfam family "Bacterial small subunit ribosomal RNA", at positions 524 to 776 of the family's 1533-position model. The record is from RNAcentral.
UACGAAGGGGGCUAGCGUUGCUCGGAAUCACUGGGCGUAAAGCGCACGUAGGCGGACUCUUAAGUCGGUGGUGAAAUCCUGGAGCUCAACUCCAGAACUGCCUUCGAUACUGAGAGUCUCGAGUCCGGGAGAGGUGAGUGGAAUUCCUAGUGUAGAGGUGAAAUUCGUAGAUAUUAGGAAGAACACCAGUGGCGAAGGCGGCUCACUGGCCCGGUACUGACGCUGAGGCGCGAAAGCGUGGGGAGCAAACAGG